This 301-nucleotide ribosomal RNA is filed under the name uncultured bacterium. Its description in RNAcentral is "partial 16S ribosomal RNA". It matches the Rfam family "Bacterial small subunit ribosomal RNA", at positions 509 to 807 of the family's 1533-position model. The record is from RNAcentral.
CAGUAGCCGCGGGAAUACAGAGGGUGCAAGCGUUAAUCGGAAUUACUGGGCGUAAAGCGCGCGUAGGUGGUUCGCCAAGUUGGAUGUGAAAUCCCCGGGCUCAACCUGGGAACUGCAUCCAAAACUGGCGAGCUAGAGUAUGGUAGAGGGUGGUGGAAUUUCCUGUGUAGCGGUGAAAUGCGUAGAUAUAGGAAGGAACAUCAGUGGCGAAGGCGACCACCUGGACUGAUACUGACACUGAGGUGCGAAAGCGUGGGGAGCAAACAGGAUUAGAUACCCGAGUAGUCCCUGUCUCUUAUAC